CACGCAGGCGGUCGUUCAAGUCGAAUGUGAAAGCCCCCGGCUUAACUGGGGAGGGUCAUUCGAUACUGAUCGACUUGAAGGCAGGAGAGGGAAGCGGAAUUCCCGGUGUAGUGGUGAAAUGCGUAGAUAUCGGGAGGAACACCAGUGGCGAAGGCGGCUUCCUGGCCUGUUCUUGACGCUGAGGUGCGAAAGCUAGGGGAGCAAACGGGAUUAGAUACCCCGGUAGUCCUAGCUGUAAACGAUGGACACUAGGUGUUGGCGGUAUCAACCCGCCAGUGCCGACGCUAACGCAUUAAGUGUCCCGCCUGGGGAGUACGGCCGCAAGGCUAAA
This 331-nucleotide ribosomal RNA is filed under the name uncultured bacterium. RNAcentral's name for it is "bacterial SSU rRNA". It matches the Rfam family "Bacterial small subunit ribosomal RNA", at positions 568 to 898 of the family's 1533-position model. The record is from RNAcentral.